Molecule: ribosomal RNA, 443 nt
Filed under: uncultured bacterium
Lineage: Bacteria
Description: partial 16S ribosomal RNA
Rfam family: Bacterial small subunit ribosomal RNA
Source: RNAcentral
GGCCAGACUCCUACGGGAGGCAGCAGUGGGGAAUAUUGCACAAUGGGGGAAACCCUGAUGCAGCGACGCCGCGUGAGCGAAGAAGUAUUUCGGUAUGUAAAGCUCUAUCAGCAGGGAAGAAAUUGACGGUACCUGAGUAAGAAGCUCCGGCUAAAUACGUGCCAGCAGCCGCGGUAAUACGUAUGGAGCAAGCGUUAUCCGGAUUUACUGGGUGUAAAGGGAGCGUAGGCGGCCUGCCAAGUCUGAUGUGAAAUACCGGGGCUCAACCCCGGGACUGCUCUUGGAACUGCGCGGCUGGAGUGCAGGAGGGGCAGGCGGAAUUCCUGGUGUAGCGGUGAAAUGCGUAGAUAUCAGGAGGAACACCGGCGGCGAAGGCGGCCUGCUGGACUGCAACUGACGUUGAGGCCCGAAAGCGUGGGGAGCAAACAGGAUUAGAUACCCUA